RNAcentral lists this ribosomal RNA (1358 nucleotides) under Synechococcus sp. MV0605E. RNAcentral's name for it is "bacterial SSU rRNA". It matches the Rfam family "Bacterial small subunit ribosomal RNA". Lineage: Bacteria; Bacillati; Cyanobacteriota; Cyanophyceae; Synechococcales; Synechococcaceae. The record is from RNAcentral.
AGAAUCUGCCCUCAGGAGGGGGAUAACGGUUGGAAACGACCGCUAAUACCCCAUAUGCCGCGAGGUGAAAUGAAUUUCGCCUGAGGAUGAGCUCGCGUCUGAUUAGUUAGUUGGUGGGGUAAAGGCCUACCAAGACAUCGAUCAGUAGCUGGUCUGAGAGGAUGAUCAGCCACACUGGGACUGAGACACGGCCCAGACUCCUACGGGAGGCAGCAGUGGGGAAUUUUCCGCAAUGGGCGAAAGCCUGACGGAGCAACGCCGCGUGAGGGAUGAAGGCCUCUGGGCUGUAAACCUCUUUUAUCAAGGAAGAAGAUCUGACGGUACUUGAUGAAUAAGCCACGGCUAAUUCCGUGCCAGCAGCCGCGGUAAUACGGGAGUGGCAAGCGUUAUCCGGAAUUAUUGGGCGUAAAGCGUCCGCAGGCGGUCUGUCAAGUCUGCUGUUAAAGCGUGGAGCUUAACUCCAUUUCGGCAGUGGAAACUGACAGACUAGAGUGUGGUAGGGGCAGAGGGAAUUCCCGGUGUAGCGGUGAAAUGCGUAGAUAUCGGGAAGAACACCAGUGGCGAAGGCGCUCUGCUGGGCCAUAACUGACGCUCAUGGACGAAAGCCAGGGGAGCGAAAGGGAUUAGAUACCCCUGUAGUCCUGGCCGUAAACGAUGAACACUAGGUGUCGGGGGAAUCGACCCCCUCGGUGUCGUAGCCAACGCGUUAAGUGUUCCGCCUGGGGAGUACGCACGCAAGUGUGAAACUCAAAGGAAUUGACGGGGGCCCGCACAAGCGGUGGAGUAUGUGGUUUAAUUCGAUGCAACGCGAAGAACCUUACCAGGGUUUGACAUCCUGCGAAUCUCUUGGAAACGAGAGAGUGCCUUCGGGAACGCAGUGACAGGUGGUGCAUGGCUGUCGUCAGCUCGUGUCGUGAGAUGUUGGGUUAAGUCCCGCAACGAGCGCAACCCACGUCGUUAGUUGCCAGCAUUUAGUUGGGCACUCUAGCGAGACCGCCGGUGAUAAACCGGAGGAAGGUGUGGAUGACGUCAAGUCAUCAUGCCCCUUACAUCCUGGGCUACACACGUACUACAAUGCUACGGACAAAGGGCAGCAAACUCGCGAGAGCUAGCAAAUCCCAUAAACCGUGGCUCAGUUCAGAUCGUAGGCUGCAACUCGCCUACGUGAAGGAGGAAUCGCUAGUAAUCGCAGGUCAGCAUACUGCGGUGAAUACGUUCCCGGGCCUUGUACACACCGCCCGUCACACCAUGGAAGUUGGCCACGCCCGAAGCCGUUACUCCAACCCUUGUGGAGGAGGACGUCGAAGGUGGGGCUGAUGACUGGGGUGAAGUCGUAACAAGGUAGCCGUACCGGAAGG